CUCAUGUUCUGCACCUCAGGAGGGAAUUCAGCCUCAGUGAUGUCCAUGAGGCCUGUCCCAGGCUCUCUAUCUUCUCUGCUACAUCUCCACAACAGACAGAGACAGCCCAUGCCAGCCUCCAUGCCUGGGACCCUGCCCAACCCUACAAUGCCAGGAUCUUCCGCCGUCUUGAUGCCAAUGGAGCGACAAAUGUCAGUGAACUCCAGCAUCAUGGGGAUGCAAGGUCCAAAUCUCAGCAACCCCUGUGCUUCUCCCCAGGUCCAGCCAAUGCAUUCAGAAGCCAAAAUGAGGUUGAAGGCUGCAUUGACUCACCACCCUGCUGCCAUGUCAAAUGGGAACAUGAACACCAUGGGACACAUGAUGGAGAUGAUGGGCUCCCGGCAGGACCAGACGCCACACCAUCACAUGCACUCGCACCCGCAUCAGCACCAGACACUGCCACCCCAUCACCCUUACCCACACCAGCACCAGCACCCAGCACACCAUCCUCACCCUCAACCCCAUCACCAGCAGAACCAUCCACAUCACCACUCCCACUCCCACCUUCAUGCACACCCAGCACAUCACCAGACCUCGCCACAUCCGCCCCUGCACACCGGCAACCAAGCACAGGUUUCACCAGCAACACAACAGAUGCAGCCAACCCAGACAAUACAGCCACCCCAGCCCACAGGGGGGCGCCGGCGAAGGGUGGUAGACGAGGAUCCGGACGAGAGGCGGCGGAAAUUUCUGGAACGGAACCGGGCAGCUGCCACCCGCUGCAGACAGAAGAGGAAGGUCUGGGUGAUGUCAUUGGAAAAGAAAGCAGAAGAACUCACCCAGACAAACAUGCAGCUUCAGGUGCAGCCCACGGUGUCUUUCCCCGGGACUCAAAGGCCCUCUGCUCCACGGGCAUUUCCGGCCCUGACAGGCACUUGUUGACCUAAGCAGUGAUACCACACACUUAGUCCACAGAGGAGCCGCAGCCCCACUCCUCGAGUUUUAUUAAUUCCAGGACACCCUACAAAACAAAAUUAACCAUUCAGUUUUCAAUCAAUUUGCCCACAAAGCUCUGAGAAGGGGGGACCUACCCCACUAAGUUGUAGGGGUGGGAGAACAGGCUUUAAUCCGACAGAGAUCCAAACCAUGGUUCACCAAUUACUUGCUAGGCUUAACUCUCUGGCUCUCAGUUUC
RNAcentral lists this long non-coding RNA (1173 nucleotides) under Pan troglodytes (chimpanzee). RNAcentral describes it as "long non-coding RNA NONPTRT015533". The record is from RNAcentral. Lineage: Eukaryota; Metazoa; Chordata; Mammalia; Primates; Hominidae.